RNAcentral lists this ribosomal RNA (408 nucleotides) under uncultured bacterium. RNAcentral's name for it is "bacterial SSU rRNA". It matches the Rfam family "Bacterial small subunit ribosomal RNA", at positions 359 to 776 of the family's 1533-position model. The record is from RNAcentral.
GAAUUUUUCGCAAUGGGGGAAACCCUGACGAAGCAACGCCGCGUGGGUGAUGAAGUCUCUUGGGACGUAAAACCCUUUCGACGGGGAAGAAACCGCAAGGUUGACGGUACCCGUAGAAGAAGCCCCGGCUAACUCCUUGCCACCAGCCGCGGUAAUACGGGGGGGGCAAGCGUUGUUCGGAAUUACUGGGCGUAAAGGGCGCGUAGGCGGUUUGCUAAGUUGAAUGUGAAAACUCGGGGCUUAACCCAGAGCCUGCAUUCAAUACUGGCAGGCUAGAGUUCUGGAGGGGAUAGCGGAAUUCCUGGUGUAGCGGUGAAAUGCGUAGAUAUCAGGAGGAACACCGGUGGCGAAGGCGGCUAUCUGGACAGAGUCUGACGCUGAGGCGCGAAAGCUAGGGGAGCAAACAGG